RNAcentral lists this ribosomal RNA (778 nucleotides) under uncultured Neocallimastigales. RNAcentral describes it as "partial large subunit ribosomal RNA". It matches the Rfam family "Eukaryotic large subunit ribosomal RNA", at positions 26 to 632 of the family's 3401-position model. The record is from RNAcentral. Lineage: Eukaryota; Fungi; Neocallimastigomycota; Neocallimastigomycetes; Neocallimastigales.
CGUCUAUAUACGUAUAGCAUAUCAAUAAGCGGAGGAAAAGAAACUAACUAGGAUUCCCUUCAGUAACGGCGAGUGAAGCGGGAAGAGCUCAAAUUUGAAAUCUUCAAGGUUUACCUUUACGAAUUGUAGUUUAAAGAAGUGUUUUCUGUUGGAGUUUCGGUAAAAGUUCUUUGGAAUAGGACAUCAUAGAGGGUGAGAAUCCCGUAUUUGACCGUUACUUUCCAGCUGUGUGAUACACUUUCAAAGAGUCGGAUUGUUUGGGAAUGCAGUCCAAAAUGGGUGGUAAAUUUCAUCUAAAGCUAAAUACUGGCGAGAGACCGAUAGCGAACAAGUACCGUGAGGGAAAGAUGAAAAGAACUUUGAAAAGAGAGUUAAACAGUACGUGAAAUUGUCAAAAGGGAAGCGUUUGACACCAGUGUUGUUUUCUCGAAAAUCAAUUAAAAAAUGGCAUGGAUUUUGUGUUGUAUUGACUUCAUCAGCUUUCUGCACUCUUUUCUUGUCUUUUUUAAUGCACUUUUCGUUUAACAAGUCAACAUCAAUUUCUUUUGCUGUAAAAGGAGUCAUUGGAAGGUGGCUUUCUUUUCGGAGAAAGUGUUUAUAGCCUUUGACUUCUGCAAUCGGAGAGAUUGAGGUCUGCAGCGUAGAUCCUUCGGGGUUAGAUGCAUUUGUGCUAAGUUAUAGCCUUUCAUAGACAACUUGUUGACUAUGAUCAGUCAUGUAGCUUACUCGCUUAUGUCAUUUUACCUACGCUUAGGAUGUUGAUCUGUAGUGCGUGCGC